Pyrgilauda ruficollis (rufous-necked snowfinch) is the source of this 790-nucleotide long non-coding RNA. RefSeq lists it as uncharacterized. The record is from RefSeq and is a predicted model, not a curated record. NCBI's taxonomy places the organism in Eukaryota, Metazoa, Chordata, Aves, Passeriformes, Passeridae. The transcript is spliced from 4 exons.
UUAAGCUUUUGUAGUCAAAACUCUUUUUUUAAUGUCUGGGUAGAUGUUGGCUGUCCCUAAGUAUUUUUCAGGGUGUGCUCAUACAGCUGAACUGUCAGGGGUCUUGUUGCAAAGACCUGUGAAAUUGGAUCCUCUUUCCUGGCAACAGACAGUACCUGCCUCUGCCAAGUCCUUCUGCAGGGUUCAACCAGGCUGCAGCCAGCUCUUGCACAUUGCUUGUUUUCUGGACAGCCCUCACCAUUGCCAAAGAAUGCCAUAGAAUGGAUGUCCAUCGCUGGAUCUGGCUGUCAGUUGUCUGCAGAGGAAUCAAUUACAAAGGAGAGAGCCCUUCAGGGUUGUAGAAGCACUGAGAAGAUAGGGUCUUCUUCAAGAAACUUGCAAACACCAAUACACCUAACUCAUAGUCAAAAGAACUGAUGUGAGCAUGCAGUCAGUGUGCCUUUCAGCAUGGAAUUUCCUGCAGGCAGAGCAGCAAUGUAGCCCUUUGCAAGUCCUCCACAUGUUCCAUAGUACAUGAAAAAGUUGUGCUGUCAAAAUCAGGUUCCCACCUGCUGCCUUUGGAAAUGCUGUUUUGUUUUUGUCUAGGAAGAGAGGCAGGGGCCCUGCUUGAUGCUUCUUAGGGAACAGCAAUUUGCACAGUGUGUACAGCUCAUCCCUCUGAAUUCCUGUGUUUGUGGACUCCUGAGUUUCACAUUGUAACUGUUGGCAGUCAGCUUUAAAAUGAUGAAAGACUGAGGAAGCACACAGGUGUGUGAAAGAAAUGGGAACAGAGAGCUUGCCAACCCUGAAG